Molecule: ribosomal RNA, 255 nt
Filed under: uncultured prokaryote
Description: partial 16S ribosomal RNA
Rfam family: Bacterial small subunit ribosomal RNA
Source: RNAcentral
UAAGACGAACCGUGCGAACGUUGUUCGGAAUCACUGGGCUUAAAGGGCGCGUAGGCGGGCUGUCAAGUCUGGGGUGAAAUCCCACGGCUCAACCGUGGAACUGCCUCGGAUACUGACGGACUCGAGGGAGGUAGGGGCGUGCGGAACUGUGGGUGGAGCGGUGAAAUGCGUUGAUAUCCACAGGAACUCCGGUGGCGAAGGCGGCACGCUGGACCUCUUCUGACGCUGAGGCGCGAAAGCCAGGGGAGCAAACGG